RNAcentral lists this ribosomal RNA (305 nucleotides) under uncultured bacterium. RNAcentral describes it as "bacterial SSU rRNA". It matches the Rfam family "Bacterial small subunit ribosomal RNA", at positions 335 to 638 of the family's 1533-position model. The record is from RNAcentral.
AGUGCCUAGGGACGCAGCAGUGAGGAAUAUUGGUCAAUGGUCGGGAGACUGAACCAGCCAAGCCGCGUGAGGGAGGAAGGUACAGAGUAUCGUAAACCUCUUUUGUCAGGGAACAAAGGCGGGGACGUGUCCCCGGAUGAGUGUACCUGAAGAAAAAGCAUCGGCUAACUCCGUGCCAGCAGCCGCGGUAAUACGGAGGAUGCGAGCGUUAUCCGGAUUUAUUGGGUUUAAAGGGUGCGCAGGCGGUCUGUUAAGUCAGCGGUCAAAGCCCGGGGCUCAACCCCGGCCCGCCGUUGAAACUGGCA